Long non-coding RNA from Coregonus clupeaformis (lake whitefish), 287 nucleotides. RefSeq lists it as uncharacterized. NCBI's taxonomy places the organism in Eukaryota, Metazoa, Chordata, Actinopteri, Salmoniformes, Salmonidae. The transcript has 3 exons. The record is from RefSeq and is a predicted model, not a curated record.
CAGUGUGGCCACCUAGGGUUUGGGUCACACAACUGUAAUCAUGGUGAAGACGCGGGUGUUGUCUGUUCAGCUUCGUCAGGUGGCAGCAACACCACAGCAGCACCACCAAUCUACUGGAAUAAUACAACAGAGACACGAGGACCAAUCUACCCAACAACCCCAUCGGUAGUUAACUCCACGCCAGGGUGGCAAGGGGCUAGGUCACAGUGGGUGGAGGUGGAACCGGAAGUGAUGUCAUAUCCUGGCCAGACGGUUAACCUGCGGUGUUCCUUCACAGGAACACUACA